CGCCUCUUGUCCAACACAAAAUAAGAGGUCCUGCCUGCCCCGUGACUCUGUUUAACGGCCGCGGUAUUCUGACCGUGCAAAGGUAGCGCAAUCACUUGUUCUUUAAAUAAGGACCUGUAUGAAUGGCAAGACGAGGGCUAGACUGUCUCUUUUUUCCGGUCAAUGAAAUUGAUCUCCCCGUGCAGAAGCGGGGAUAAAAACAUAAGACGAGAAGACCCUGUGGAGCUUUAGACACCAGAGACAGCCCUUGUUAAAUACCUUAAAUAAAAGACUAAACCCAUAGGACCCUUCUCCCAUGUCUUCGGUUGGGGCGACCGCGGGGACAAAAAUAACCCCCAUGUGGACUAAGAAGACCGACCUCUUAGACCAAAGAGCUACCGCUCGAACCCACAGAAUUUCUGACCAAAGGAUCCGGCAAUGCCGAUCAACGAACCAAGUUACCCCAGGGAUAACAGCGCAAUCCUCUUUCAGAGACCCUAUCGACAAGAGGGUUUACGACCUCGAUGUUGGAUCAGGACAUCCUAUUGGUGCAGCCGCUAUUAAGGGUUCGUUUGUUCAACG
RNAcentral lists this ribosomal RNA (561 nucleotides) under Pseudochromis sp. MBS1101901. RNAcentral's name for it is "partial 16S ribosomal RNA". It matches the Rfam family "Bacterial large subunit ribosomal RNA", at positions 1816 to 2586 of the family's 2925-position model. Lineage: Eukaryota; Metazoa; Chordata; Actinopteri; Pseudochromidae. The record is from RNAcentral.